Molecule: ribosomal RNA, 331 nt
Filed under: uncultured bacterium
Lineage: Bacteria
Description: bacterial SSU rRNA
Rfam family: Bacterial small subunit ribosomal RNA
Source: RNAcentral
CGCGUAGGUGGUAGUGUAAGUCUGGGGUGGAAUGCCGGGGCUUAACCCUGGAAUUGCCUUGGAAACUGCAUUACUUGAGUCAGUGAGGGGAGGGUAGAAUUCCUGGUGUAGCGGUGAAAUGCGUAGAUAUCAGGAGGAAGGCCUGUGGCGAAGGCGGCCCUCUGGUGCUGGACUGACACUGAGGCGCGAAAGCGUGGGGAGCAAACAGGAUUAGAUACCCUGGUAGUCCACGCCCUAAACGGUGGGCACUAGGUGUAGGGCUCGUAAGGGUUCUGUGCCGAAGGGAAACCAUUAAGUGCCCCGCCUGGGGGAGUACGGCCGCAAGGUUGAA